RNAcentral lists this ribosomal RNA (253 nucleotides) under uncultured bacterium. RNAcentral's name for it is "partial 16S ribosomal RNA". It matches the Rfam family "Bacterial small subunit ribosomal RNA", at positions 524 to 776 of the family's 1533-position model. The record is from RNAcentral.
UACGUAGGUGGCAAGCGUUGUCCGGAUUUACUGGGCGUAAAGAGCGCGCAGGCGGCUGGUCAAGUCCGAUGUGAAAUCUCCCGGCUUAACUGGGAAACUGCAUCGGAAACUGAUCGGCUUGAAGGUGGGAGAAGGUAGUGGAAUUCCCGGUGUAGUGGUGAAAUGCGUAGAUAUCGGGAGGAACACCAGUGGCGAAGGCGACUACCUGGCCCAUUCUUGACGCUGAGGCGCGAAAGCUAGGGGAGCAAACAGG